Molecule: ribosomal RNA, 587 nt
Filed under: uncultured bacterium
Lineage: Bacteria
Description: bacterial SSU rRNA
Rfam family: Bacterial small subunit ribosomal RNA
Source: RNAcentral
AAAAACUCCGGUGGUAUGAGAUGGGCCCGCGUCUGAUUAGCUAGUUGGCGGGGUAACGGCCCACCAAGGCGACGAUCAGUAGCCGACCUGAGAGGGUGACCGGCCACAUUGGGACUGAGACACGGCCCAAACUCCUACGGGAGGCAGCAGUGGGGAAUAUUGCACAAUGGGGGAAACCCUGAUGCAGCGACGCCGCGUGAGCGAUGAAGUAUUUCGGUAUGUAAAGCUCUAUCAGCAGGGAAGAAGAUGACGGUACCUGACUAAGAAGCCCCGGCUAACUACGUGCCAGCAGCCGCGGUAAUACGUAGGGGGCAAGCGUUAUCCGGAUUUACUGGGUGUAAAGGGAGCGUAGACGGCGGUGCAAGCCAGAUGUGAAAGCCCGGGGCUCAACCCCGGGACUGCAUUUGGAACUGUAUGGCUGGAGUGUCGGAGAGGCAGGCGGAAUUCCUAGUGUAGCGGUGAAAUGCGUAGAUAUUAGGAGGAACACCAGUGGCGAAGGCGGCCUGCUGGACGAUGACUGACGUUGAGGCUCGAAAGCGUGGGGAGCAAACAGGAUUAGAUACCCUGGUAGUCCACGCCGUAAACGA